This 1063-nucleotide ribosomal RNA is filed under the name unidentified rumen bacterium 30-8. RNAcentral's name for it is "bacterial SSU rRNA". It matches the Rfam family "Bacterial small subunit ribosomal RNA", at positions 8 to 1066 of the family's 1533-position model. Lineage: Bacteria; Pseudomonadati; Bacteroidota; Bacteroidia; Bacteroidales; Bacteroidaceae. The record is from RNAcentral.
AGAGUUUGAUCCUGGCUCAGGAUGAACGCUAGCUACAGGCUUAACACAUGCAAGUCGAGGGGAAACGAUUAGAGGUGCUUGCACACUAAGGCGUCGACCGGCGCACGGGUGAGUAACGCGUAUCCAACCUGCCCCAUGGUAAGGAAUAAUCCGUAGAAAUGCGGUCUAAUACCUUAUGUGCUCCGAAGAGGACAUCUGAUUUGGAGUAAAGAUUUAUCGCCAUGGGAUGGGGAUGCGUCUGAUUAGAUUGUUGGCGGGGCAACGGCCCACCAAGUCACCGAUCAGUAGGGGUUCUGAGAGGAAAGUCCCCCACAUUGGAACUGAGACACGGUCCAAACUCCUACGGGAGGCAGCAGUGAGGAAUAUUGGUCAAUGGAUGAGAAUCUGAACCAGCCAAGUAGCGUGCAGGACGACGGCCCUAUGGGUUGUAAACUGCUUUUGUACGGGGAUAAAGGAGCUUACGUGUAAGUUUUUGCAGGUACCGUACGAAUAAGGACCGGCUAAUUCCGUGCCAGCAGCCGCGGUAAUACGGAAGGUCCGGGCGUUAUCCGGAUUUAUUGGGUUUAAAGGGAGCGCAGGCUGUCGGUUAAGCGUGUUGUGAAAUGUAGGCGCCCAACGCCUGCACUGCAGCGCGAACUGGCUGACUUGAGUACGCACGACGUUGGCGGAAUUUGCCGUGUAGCGGUGAAAUGCUUAGAUAUGGCGAAGAACUCCGAUUGCGAAGGCAGCUGACGGGAGCGCAACUGACGCUCAUGCUCGAAAGUGCGGGUAUCGAACAGGAUUAGAUACCCUGGUAGUCCGCACGGUAAACGAUGGAUGCCCGCUAUUUGUCCAUUAGGAUAAGUGGCCAAGUGAAAACGUUAAGCAUCCCACCUGGGGAGUACGCCGGCAACGGUGAAACUCAAAGGAAUUGACGGGGGCCCGCACAAGCGGAGGAACAUGUGGUUUAAUUCGAUGAUACGCGAGGAACCUUACCCGGGCUUGAAUUGUGAGAGAAGGAUCCAGAGAUGGUGACCNUCGGGGCUCUCAUGAAGGUGCUGCAUGGUUGUCGUCAGCUCGUGCC